AGUGAACGCUGGCGGUAGGCCUAACACAUGCAAGUCGAACGGCAGCACAGUAAGAGCUUGCUCUUACGGGUGGCGAGUGGCGGACGGGUGAGGAAUACAUCGGAAUCUACUUUUUCGUGGGGGAUAACGUAGGGAAACUUACGCUAAUACCGCAUACGACCUACGGGUGAAAGCAGGGGAUCUUCGGACCUUGCGCGAUUGAAUGAGCCGAUGUCGGAUUAGCUAGUUGGCGGGGUAAAGGCCCACCAAGGCGACGAUCCGUAGCUGGUCUGAGAGGAUGAUCAGCCACACUGGAACUGAGACACGGUCCAGAGUCCUACGGGAGGGAGCAGAGGGGAAUAUUGGACAAUAGGCGCAAGCCUGAUCCAGCCAUACCGCGUGGGUGAAGAAGGCCUUCGGGUUGUAAAGCCCUUUUGUUGGGAAAGAAAAGCAGCAGGUUAAUACCCCGCUGUUCUGACGGUACCCAAAGAAUAAGCACCGGCUAACUUCGUG
RNAcentral lists this ribosomal RNA (492 nucleotides) under uncultured bacterium. RNAcentral's name for it is "partial 16S ribosomal RNA". It matches the Rfam family "Bacterial small subunit ribosomal RNA", at positions 29 to 507 of the family's 1533-position model. The record is from RNAcentral.